GCAGUGGUAGCUCUGUGGUUAAGGCUCCGGGCUACUGAUCGGAAGGUCCGGGGUUCAAAUGCCAGCACCACUGUG
Non-coding RNA from Pangasius djambal, 75 nucleotides. Lineage: Eukaryota; Metazoa; Chordata; Actinopteri; Siluriformes; Pangasiidae. The record is from the annotation of a GenBank genome assembly.